RNAcentral lists this unclassified non-coding RNA (329 nucleotides) under Hevea brasiliensis (rubber tree). The record is from RNAcentral. Lineage: Eukaryota; Viridiplantae; Streptophyta; Magnoliopsida; Malpighiales; Euphorbiaceae.
AAAACCAAGAGUUUGAUAAACAAAACCAAGACUACAGUCCACACGCUUAAGGCUAAACGAACCUAAAACAGAAUACAUGGACUACAAGUUUUGCAAUGCAAUAACCCGGAAGGAUAUGGAGUAAAAUUAGAUGGCUCAAAAUGGUUAUCUCCAUUACCUGGGGUCCAUUAUACAAGGAGGGAGAAAAAGGGGAGGACAUUAAUCAUAGAAUCAAAGUAUCAGCAUCAAAAUAGAAGAGCACAAGCACAGCGAAAUAUAUUUAAUUGAAGCACACUAUACUCUAUAGUAGUGAAUGCUAGGCUUGAAAAAAUAGGAAGCUAAAAAUGACA